This 501-nucleotide ribosomal RNA is filed under the name uncultured bacterium. RNAcentral describes it as "bacterial SSU rRNA". It matches the Rfam family "Bacterial small subunit ribosomal RNA", at positions 28 to 521 of the family's 1533-position model. The record is from RNAcentral.
GAUGAGCGCUAGCGGCAGGCUUAAUACAUGCAAGUCGAGGGGCAGCAGCUUUGUAGCAAUACAGGGGCUGGCGACCGGCAAACGGGUGCGGAACACGUACGCAACCUUCCUUUAACUGGAAGAUAGCCCACCGAAAGGUGGAUUAAUACUCCAUAACAUAUUGAAGAGGCAUCUCUUUGAUAUUAAAGCUCCGGCGGUUAAAGAUGGGCGUGCGUCUGAUUAGGUAGUUGGCGGGUAACGGCCCACCAAGCCUUCGAUCAGUAGCUGAUGUGAGAGCAUGAUCAGCCACACGGGCACUGAGACACGGGCCCGACUCCUACGGGAGGCAGCAGUAAGGAAUAUUGGUCAAUGGACGCAAGUCUGAACCAGCCAUGCCGCGUGGAGAAUGAAGGCCCUCUGGGUUGUAAAACUUCUUUUCUUUGGGACGAAAACCCCUGUUUCUACGGGGACUGACGGUACCAGAGGAAUAAGCACCGGCUAACUCGUGCCAGCAGCCGCGGU